AUUGAACGCUGGCGGCAUGCCUAACACAUGCAAGUCGAACGGCAGCACAGGUAGCAAUACCGGGUGGCGAGUGGUGGACGGGUGAGUAAUGCAUCGGGAUCUACCCAAACGCGGGGGAUAACGUAGGGAAACUUACGCUAAUACCGCAUACGUCCCAUGGGAGAAAGCGGGGGCUCGCAAGACCUCGCGCGGUUGGACGAACCGAUGUGCGAUUAGCUAGUUGGCGGGGUAAUGGCCCACCAAGGCGACGAUCGCUAGCUGGUCUGAGAGGAUGAUCAGCCACACUGGAACUGAGACACGGCCCAG
This 306-nucleotide ribosomal RNA is filed under the name uncultured bacterium. Its description in RNAcentral is "bacterial SSU rRNA". It matches the Rfam family "Bacterial small subunit ribosomal RNA", at positions 30 to 334 of the family's 1533-position model. The record is from RNAcentral.